Molecule: ribosomal RNA, 497 nt
Filed under: uncultured bacterium
Lineage: Bacteria
Description: partial 16S ribosomal RNA
Rfam family: Bacterial small subunit ribosomal RNA
Source: RNAcentral
GAUGAACGCUGGCGGCGUGCCUAAUACAUGCAAGUCGAGCGAACGGACGAGAAGCUUGCUUUUCUGAUGUUAGCGGUGGACGGGUGAGUAACACGUGGAUAACCUACCUAUAGGACUGGGAUAACUUCGGGAAACCGGAGCUAAUACCGGAUAAUAUUUUGAACCGCAUGGUUCAAAGGUGAAAGACGGUCUUGCUGUCACUUAUAGAUGGACCCGCGCUGCAUUAGCUAGUUGGUAAGGUAACGGCUUACCAAGGCAACGAUGCAUAGCCGACCUGAGAGGGUGAUCGGCCACACUGGAACUGAGACACGGUCCAGACUCCUACGGGAGGCAGCAGUAGGGAAUCUUCCGCAAUGGGCGAAAGCCUGACGGAGCAACGCCGCGUGAGUGAUGAAGGUCUUCGGAUCGUAAAACUCUGUUAUUAGGGAAGAACAUAUGUGUAAGUAACUGUGCACAUCUUGACGGUACCUAAUCAGAAAGCCACGGCUAACUACGUG